Non-coding RNA from Pogona vitticeps (central bearded dragon), 793 nucleotides. NCBI's taxonomy places the organism in Eukaryota, Metazoa, Chordata, Lepidosauria, Squamata, Agamidae. The record is from RefSeq and is a predicted model, not a curated record.
GGCUUGCAAAGGGUGGGUGGGGUUGGUUUCCCCACCUGGUUUCUCUCCUAAGCCUCCUGACGGAUCAGCUUUUGUGAGCCCAGGGGAACGUGUUGGCUGCUGCUGAAGGAUGAUGUUCCUAUUGACUCUUCCCCCACACACACACACACCAAGUACAUUUGGGAAGAGUAGCAACACAUGGUAAGCGUUGGGAAUGAACAAUCCGUCCAGCUUCGCACAUUUCUCUUUUCCUCCAGCUGGGAAAUGGGCCUCAUCCAGAAAUGAGAGGGCCUGUGUGAAGGACCUAGCCUGGGUCACCCUUCAAACCAGAUGAGGAUGUUAGCUCCACUCUGUCACUCAACUCCCAGUUACGAAGCAAAACACACUAAAUGCAAGAAAUGGAGGCAAAUAAAAUUGUAUGCUGUGACAAACAGACAUCUUUCGCCACUUGAAGGAGCACCGUUUCUGAACACGUGCUAAAGAUUGACAUUUUAAAGAUUGUGGCCUGAAUCGCUUGAACCACAUCCUGUGUCCUUUUUGUGCCAAACCCUGCCUGGCUGCUGCUUUGCCUGUCUACUUACCGUUAUUGCGGGUGACUAAGCCAAACAGAGAUGAGAUUCCCUUAUGGCUUAUUGCUUUUCAUGCCGGCUGGCUUCGUUUGGUGAUAAAAGUCAGAGACAGGGAGAGGGCCGCUAUUCCCAGAACAAAAGGUCAUCUGUUUCCUUUCAGAGAAGUUGACUCUGGUUUCAUCUCUUUUUAAAUGAAGAACCGUGAUACAUUUUUAUCUGCCCUGUGGUGGAAGGAGAAAAGAGGG